UGGUUUUACCUCAAUAAUUACAGCAGGAUUCCCAGGAGGUUUUUGUCUUUGCUAACUUGCUAGCAUAUAACCGAUUGGGGACAUUG
This 86-nucleotide small nucleolar RNA is filed under the name Echinops telfairi (small Madagascar hedgehog). RNAcentral's name for it is "Small nucleolar RNA SNORA32 (ENSETEG00000024237.1)". Lineage: Eukaryota; Metazoa; Chordata; Mammalia; Afrosoricida; Tenrecidae. The record is from RNAcentral.